CCUACGGGAGGCAGCAGUGGGGAAUAUUGCGCAAUGGGCGAAAGCCUGACGCAGCGACGCCGCGUGAGGGAUGAAGGUCUUCGGAUCGUAAACCUCUGUCAGCAGGGAAGAACGGUCACUGUGCUAAUCAGCAGUGAAUUGACGGUACCUGCAAAGGAAGCACCGGCUAACUCCGUGCCAGCAGCCGCGGUAAUACGGAGGGUGCGAGCGUUAUCCGGAUUUAUUGGGUUUAAAGGGUGCGCAGGCGGAAGAUCAAGUCAGCGGUAAAAUUGAGAGGCUCAACCUCUUCGAGCCGUUGAAACUGGUUUUCUUGAGUGAGUGAGAAGUAUGCGGAAUGCGUGGUGUAGCGGUGAAAUGCAUAGAUAUCACGCAGAACUCCGAUUGCGAAGGCAGCAUACCGGCGCUCAACUGACGCUCAUGCACGAAAGUGUGGGUAUCGAACAGGAUUAGAUACCCUUGUAGUC
RNAcentral lists this ribosomal RNA (464 nucleotides) under uncultured bacterium. Its description in RNAcentral is "partial 16S ribosomal RNA". It matches the Rfam family "Bacterial small subunit ribosomal RNA", at positions 338 to 795 of the family's 1533-position model. The record is from RNAcentral.